This 499-nucleotide ribosomal RNA is filed under the name uncultured Glomeromycotina. RNAcentral's name for it is "partial small subunit ribosomal RNA". It matches the Rfam family "Eukaryotic small subunit ribosomal RNA", at positions 591 to 1092 of the family's 1831-position model. The record is from RNAcentral. Lineage: Eukaryota; Fungi; Glomeromycota.
CCAAUAGCGUAUAUUAAAGUUGUUGCAGUUAAAAAGCUCGUAGUUGAAUUUCGGGGUUAGUACGCUGGUCGUGCCUUCGGUAUGUACUGUGUUACUGAUUCCUACCUUCUGAAGAACCGUCAUGUCAUUAAUUUGGUGUGGCGGGGAAUCAGGACUGUUACUUUGAAAAAAUUAGAGUGUUUAAAGCAGGCUCGCGCUUGAAUACAUUAGCAUGGAAUAAUGAAAUAGGACGUUUGAUCCUAUUUUGUUGGUUUCUAGGAUUGACGUAAUGAUUAAUAGGGUUAGUUGGGGGCAUUAGUAUUCAAUUGUCAGAGGUGAAAUUCUUGGAUUUAUUGAAGACUAACUGCUGCGAAAGCAUUUGCCAAGGAUGUUUUCAUUAAUCAAGAACGAAAGUUAGGGGAUCGAGGACGAUCAGAUACCGUCGUAGCCUUAACCAUAAACUAUGCCGACUAGGGAUCGGAUGAUGUUAAUUUUUUAAUGACUCAUUCGGCGCCUUACG